This 401-nucleotide ribosomal RNA is filed under the name uncultured bacterium. RNAcentral describes it as "partial 16S ribosomal RNA". It matches the Rfam family "Bacterial small subunit ribosomal RNA", at positions 360 to 776 of the family's 1533-position model. The record is from RNAcentral.
AAUAUUGCGCAAUGGGGGAAACCCUGACGCAGCAACGCCGCGUGAAGGAUGAAGGUUUUCGGAUCGUAAACUUCUUUGAUUGGGGACGAAUAAAUGACGGUACCCAAAAAACAAGCCACGGCUAACUACGUGCCAGCAGCCGCGGUAAUACGUAGGUGGCGAGCGUUGUCCGGAAUUACUGGGUGUAAAGGGCGUGUAGGCGGGAAUGUAAGUCAGAUGUGAAAUGCCGGAGCUUAACUCCGGAGCUGCAUCUGAAACUAUAUUUCUUGAGUACUGGAGAGGAAAGCGGAAUUCCUAGUGUAGCGGUGAAAUGCGUAGAUAUUAGGAGGAACACCAGUGGCGAAGGCGGCUUUCUGGACAGUAACUGACGCUGAGGCGCGAAAGCGUGGGGAGCAAACAGG